UCGCGAAAACUUUGCAAUAAGCGAAAGCUUGACAGGGCUAUCCCGAGUGCCAUCCGCUGAGGAAGGCUUUUACCCAGUCUAGUAAGCUGGGGGAAUAAGGAGAGGGCAAGUCUGGUGUCAGCCGCCGCGGUAAUACCAGCUCUCCGAGUGGUGUGGAUGUUUAUUGGGCCUAAAGCAUCCGUAGCUGGCUGAGUUAGUCCCCUGUUAAAUCCACCGAAUCAAUCGUUGGAUUGCGGGGGAUACUGCUCGGCUAGGGGACGGGAGAGGCAGACGGUAUUUCCGGGGUAAGGGUGAAAUCUUAUAAUCCCGGGAAGACCACCAGUGGCGAAGGCUGUCUGCUAGAACGCGCCCGACGGUGAGGGAUGAAAGCUGGGGUAGCGAACCGG
RNAcentral lists this ribosomal RNA (386 nucleotides) under uncultured crenarchaeote. Its description in RNAcentral is "bacterial SSU rRNA". It matches the Rfam family "Archaeal small subunit ribosomal RNA", at positions 339 to 727 of the family's 1478-position model. The record is from RNAcentral. Lineage: Archaea; Thermoproteati; Thermoproteota.